Molecule: long non-coding RNA, 710 nt
Filed under: Ananas comosus (pineapple)
Lineage: Eukaryota; Viridiplantae; Streptophyta; Magnoliopsida; Poales; Bromeliaceae
Description: long non-coding RNA (ACOM_LNC013534)
Source: RNAcentral
AUUGGGAAAACUUCAAAUACCACCCCUGUGGUUUCGCAUUUUUUCACUUUAGUACCCUGUGGUUUAAAGUGUAUCAAUUUAGUACCCUGUGGUUUCGCACUUUCUCACUUUAAUACCGUGUAGUUUAAAGUGCAUCAAUUUAGUACCCUGUGGUUUCAUUUUUCUUUUUUUGUUGGCUCCUCAAUUAAUAUUUCGUUAAAUUAUAUACAAAAAAAUUCAAAUACCCUACCUAGGUUUAUCAAAUAUUUACUUUAGUACCCUUUAGUUUAAAUUUUGUCACUGAUUUUUUUUUCCUCUGUUAAUAUUUCGUUAAAUUAUAUACAAAAAAAACUUCAGAUAUCUUACCUAGGUUUAUCGAAUAUUCAUUUUAGUACCCUUUAAUUUUAACUUUGUCACAAACUUAACGAAAAAAACUUGUGAAAUGGAUAAUAAAAAGAGAAAAAUAAACCACAGGGUACUAACUUGAUACACUUUAAACCACAGGGUACUAAGGUGAGAAAGUACAAAAUCACAGGGGCUAACUUGAAUCACUUUAAGCCAUACGAUACUAAAGUGAGAAAGUGUGAAACCACAGGGAGGUAUUUGAAGUUUACCUUUUAGGAUUUAUAGUGAAGGUUGUUAGAAUAGCAAUAAUCGAAUAGAUAGUAUAAGAAUCGUGCUUACUAUCAACUUUUUGACCAUUUGAUAUGUAGGAUUUAAUGGAGAUUGGU